Molecule: ribosomal RNA, 481 nt
Filed under: uncultured bacterium
Lineage: Bacteria
Description: SSU rRNA
Rfam family: Bacterial small subunit ribosomal RNA
Source: RNAcentral
AGGACGAACGCUGGCGGCGUGCUUAACACAUGCAAGUCGAACGAGGUCAUCCAGCUUGCUGGAGAAGCCUAGUGGCGAACGGGUGAGUAACACGUGAGCAACCUGCCCCGAAGACUGGGAUAACAGCGGGAAACCGCUGCUAAUACCGGAUAUCCCCACCGAGUCGCAUGGCUUGGUGAGGAAAGGAUUCUGCUUCGGGAGGGGCUCGUGGCCUAUCAGCUAGUUGGUGGGGUAACGGCCUACCAAGGCAACGACGGGUAGCUGGUCUGAGAGGACGAUCAGCCACACUGGGACUGAGACACGGCCCAGACUCCUACGGGAGGCAGCAGUGGGGAAUCUUGCGCAAUGGGCGAAAGCCUGACGCAGCAACGCCGCGUGAGGGAUGAAGGUCUUCGGGUUGUAAACCUCUUUCAAGCAGGGACGAUAAUGACGGUACCUGCAGAAGAAGCUCCGGCCAACUACGUGCCAGCAGCCGCGGUAA